CUACAGUUGUUGAAGCGGCAGGUGGGAGCGAGGUUGGGAAGUGGUCCUGAGGAUGCGAAGCCAAUCAAGGCGCAUUCCUUCUCAGGCACGUCAACUGGGCCGACGUGAUCAGCCGACGGAUGGAGCCGCCGUUCAAACCCGCCCUGAUCGGCGACGACGAUGUGAGUCAGUUUGACACAAAGUUCACGAAGCAGACGCCCGUGGAUAGCCCCGUGGACUCGUCACUCAGCGAGAGCGCACAGCAAGUGU
This is a long non-coding RNA of Priapulus caudatus, 249 nucleotides long. RefSeq lists it as uncharacterized. NCBI's taxonomy places the organism in Eukaryota, Metazoa, Priapulida, Priapulimorpha, Priapulimorphida, Priapulidae. The record is from RefSeq and is a predicted model, not a curated record. The transcript is spliced from 3 exons.